This is a long non-coding RNA of Felis catus (domestic cat), 2560 nucleotides long. RefSeq lists it as uncharacterized. Lineage: Eukaryota; Metazoa; Chordata; Mammalia; Carnivora; Felidae. The transcript is spliced from 3 exons. The record is from RefSeq and is a predicted model, not a curated record.
UCCUCAGUCUUCAUUCAUUCAUUCUUCUAUUUACUUGUUCAUUCAUUUAUUAAGAACACACAAAGGAGAUAAAAUGACAAAUGAGGUACAGUUCCUAUCCUCAAGGACAUUACCGUCGUGGGAACUGUAAUGAGGACAAUAUAACACGACUCAGCACACAACGGGAUGCGGCACAGGGCAGAUCCAUAAUCCCUUAUUGAACACUCUUGUGGGCAAGAGAGAUCUCAGACCAAAGCAUUUUUUCCAGCUUUAGAAAGAUAAUCUGGUACCUAUAUUGUCUGUUUUUUAAAUGCUCCCAAAGGGGUCUGAGGUAGCAAUCCAAAGCCACACAAUUUUUCUACAGCACAAUGUAUGACUAUUCUCACCAAAUGAGAUAUGUUGGCACCGAAGUUAACAUUAGAAAAAAGAUGGCUUCAGAGCUUUGUGUAUUUUAUGAUCAUGGAUGAGGGGCUUGGGAUCUGUACAGUUCACUACAAUGUACCGCAAAGAAUACAAGGUGGGGGGCAAGCGGCUUUGGGGUACUCUGUGUGAGGGAGUCUAUUCCAAUUUGGGGUGUGGAUAAAAGGCUUCCCGAGCCCAGAAGCUAAGUAGGAGAUGGUGAGGGUGGAGGAAAGAGGUGUUAAUAGACUAGAGAAAGGCUCCUGAAGCAGCAGUGUGAUGUACUAAGGCAUGUGGUGUGUGAGAGACUAGGGAAAGCAAGAACAUUCUCGAAAUUUCCAAGUGAGGCGGUGAAUGAGAAGAUGGGAGCCUGAAGCCAUGAGGCAGCACCCAGCCCAGUUGCAGACAUGAGGGGAAGUGCUAGUUCUUGUUCCUGACUCAGCUCCUUCUGAGCUGGCAAAAGCCCGUCACCUCAGUAACCGACAUGGUAACUGCUCUUCUCUAGGUUUCAAACAAGCUGCUCCCAAGGGCCGGUCGACAUAGCCUCGAACUAGAAGCAUAGCCUUCCCUGAUCAUCAGCUUUCUCUCGGGCCCAAUAUGGCAUGCCAAACUCUCUCCGGCUGCCUGAAACCAGUUUCCCAACCGAUCGUCUAUUUUACAACCCAGCUCUGAGACAGUCUUGUCAUGUCAAGGCUUCUAAUUCACCCACUUGCAGUUUAGAAUCAUUGAUGUAUACGAUUCAGCUUCUUAGUAACCUGUGCUGUUUUAACCAGAGGGCUAGACGGUUCUGUUUUUCCAUCCACCCCAUUCACCUUUAAUUAUGCCAGGAACUACCUAUGUAAGUUCAAGCUUUGAACCCAUCUGCAAGUAUAAUCUUCGCCUCCAAUUCCAUGGUUUUUAAUAUUUAUUUAUUUUUGAGAGACAGACAGAACGCAAGUGGAAAGGGGCAGAGAGAGGGGGAGACACAGAACCCAAAGCAGGGUCCCAGCUCUGAGCUGUCAGCACAGAGCCCGACACGGGGCUUGAGCUCACGAACUGAGAGAUCACGACCUGAGUCGAAGUCGGACGCUCAACUGACUGAGCCACCCAGGUGUCUCCCCAAUCCCAUUUUUAUUUUCGAUAUUCUUCUUUCACCUUUUGACUUAAGUAGCAAUAAUAGUAGCUGGUUCUACUUUUGGUUUUUGGACAUGGGUUAAUCAUAAAUUUGCCACGGACUAACUGUAACAUUAGGCAAAUUAUCUAGCCUUCCAGAUCAUUUCUUCUCUUGUAGAAUGGAGAGAUAAAAAGACAAGAUGGGGGCACCUGGGUGUGGCUCAGCUGGCUAAGCAACCAACUCUUGAUUUCAGCUCAAGUCUCAUGGUCAUGAGAACGAACUUGGUAUUGGGGUCCACACUAGGUGUGAAGCCUGCUUAAGAUUCUUUCUCUCCUUUCUCUCCCUCUGCCCUUCCUCUGAUUUCUCUUAAAGAAAGAAAGAAAGAAAGAAAGAAAGAAAGAAAGAAAGAGGGAGAGAAAAGACAAGAUGUGCCUCACUGGGUUGUCAAGAUGAUGCGGGUGAAGUGCGUAAGGUACUCACAUAAAUGUCAGGUGCUCAAAAUGGCAGGUACUUUCUAUAAUAUAAUUACCUUUUCUCUUGUUUAUUUGGAUAUAUAUUGUGUGGCUCUUAUGCUCGUCUUGUCUCAUGGGGAUCACAGAAUAAAGUUUCUUCCAAAUGGAACAUUCCUUGUAUCAGUCGGUUUGGGACAAAUUAAUUCCUCAGAUAGGAACCCGGAUCUCACUUCAGAGGUUUUCUACAAGUGAACGUAGAAAUUCUCAUUUCUUUCUGGUCCCCGUUUUCCAGGAUAUGGACCUUUUGGAGGACACAGGUGUCCGUAUGGGCUCCAAGCUAUGAUGCCAUAGGAGUAGAUCAGACUUGGCUUGGCUGUGCCAUUGGAAACAAAAGGAAAAGCAAGGGUGUUAAAUGAGCAACAGACCUCCCCAAACCACCUCUCCAAGAUGUCAAAUUGUCAGACUUUCGGUGAGUGUGUGACCGGACCAUGGCUGUGCUCAGGACAGUUUGCUGUCUGCAUUCAAGUCUGCUGGAAGUCGACUCUUUUCUCUUAGUUUCUAUCCUGUGGAAAUAUUUUGCAGGUAGAGCUGGAGUUUGCUCUUGUCCAAAGGCCACAUGAGGACUGCACGCUUUUUU